GCCCUCAUAGCUUAGUUAGCUAUAGCGCAGGUUUCGUAAACCUGAGGUCGCCGGUGCAACUCCGGCUGGGGGCU
This 74-nucleotide transfer RNA is filed under the name Nanobdellota archaeon. RNAcentral describes it as "tRNA-Thr". It matches the Rfam family "tRNA". From Rfam's summary of the family: Transfer RNA (tRNA) molecules are approximately 80 nucleotides in length. Lineage: Archaea; Nanobdellati; Nanobdellota. The record is from RNAcentral.